UUUGGUGACGAUAGCGGAAGGGAACCACGCGUACCCAUCCCGAACACGGCCGUUAAGCCUUCCAGUGCCGAUGGUACUUGGACCGAAGGCGGUCCUGGGAGACUAGGACGUUGCCAAGC
Molecule: ribosomal RNA, 119 nt
Filed under: Paenibacillus larvae
Lineage: Bacteria; Bacillati; Bacillota; Bacilli; Caryophanales; Paenibacillaceae
Source: RNAcentral